This 200-nucleotide unclassified non-coding RNA is filed under the name soil metagenome. RNAcentral describes it as "partial contains internal transcribed spacer 2 and large subunit ribosomal RNA". The record is from RNAcentral.
UUAGCUAUGGAUCGCGAUGUGUUUAUGAUCUAAAGUGUGAUACAUGUCUACGCUGAAGAUCGACCAUGCAAGCCACCGCCUUCACGGGCAGCGCCUUCACGGGCCGUGUGGUUAGCGAAUACAGAGCUCCUAACCGUCCGCGAGACAACAAACCCCUGACAUCUGACCUCAAAUCAGGUAGGACUACCCGCUGAACUUAA